Molecule: small RNA, 608 nt
Filed under: uncultured fungus
Lineage: Eukaryota; Fungi
Description: eukaryotic LSU rRNA
Rfam family: 5.8S ribosomal RNA (bases 216-370)
Source: RNAcentral
GGAAGGAUCAUUACCGAAUUGUCAACAUGAAGUUGUUGCUGGCCCUCAAAUGGGGGCAUGUGCACACUCUGUUUACACAUCCACUCACACCUGUGCACUCUCUGUAGUACUGUGGUCUGGGGGUUCUGUCCUCCUACUGUGGUUCUGCGUAUUUAUACACACACACUGUAAUAAAGUCUCAUGGAAUGUAUGCCGCGUUUAACGCAAUGAAAUACAACUUUCAGCAACGGAUCUCUUGGCUCUCGCAUCGAUGAAGAACGCAGCGAAAUGCGAUAAGUAAUGUGAAUUGCAGAAUUCAGUGAAUCAUCGAAUCUUUGAACGCACCUUGCGCCCUUUGGCUAUUCCGAAGGGCAUGCCUGUUUGAGUAUCAUGAACACCUCAACUCUCAUGGCUUGCCAUGAUGAGCUUGGACUUGGGGGUUUUGCUGGCCUACAGUCAGCUCCCCUCAAAUGCAUCAGCUUUCCAGUGUUUGGUGGCACCACAGGUGUGAUAAACAUCUACACGUGUGGUUCCCCACCAUGUAACCUUCAGUGAAUGGAGGUUUGCUGGAGCUCACAAAUGUCUUUCCUCAGUGAAGACAGUUCUUUGAUUGUUUGAUCUCAAAUCAG